Molecule: long non-coding RNA, 271 nt
Organism: Podarcis raffonei (Aeolian wall lizard)
Lineage: Eukaryota; Metazoa; Chordata; Lepidosauria; Squamata; Lacertidae
Exons: 2
Source: RefSeq, a predicted model, not a curated record
CAACCAGAAGAGUCUCUGAGGUGUACUUGCCUGGAAGGAGAGUCAGCAUCCAAAGUCAGGUCCAGUCCUAAGGUUGGGAAAACAGCAACUCGUGUGGUCAGACAGCCCAGGGGUCAGGGAAUCUGAUGAUCAGAGGCUGAAGAUUCAAAAUGAGCAGGAAGCAGCAAGAUAGAGCCAGCAGGUCCAAGAGGAAAAGACCAAAGAAAGAGGUACCAAAAAAAAGAAAAAAAGGAAAGAAGAAAACAAAACAAAAUAAACACAUUUGACUUCC